Small nucleolar RNA from Dasypus novemcinctus (nine-banded armadillo), 132 nucleotides. Lineage: Eukaryota; Metazoa; Chordata; Mammalia; Cingulata; Dasypodidae. The record is from Ensembl.
CCCUCCUACAAAGACGUGUCAGUGGUUUCCUGUCCUUGGACACGUAAGAAGUGGAGGGAAAAAGAUGUGGACUUGGAGAAGUCUGGAGCCCGCUUGCUCCCUGCAGGCUCAAGAUCAUCCUUUCCCACACAG